GAGACAUCAGGUCAGGCGGGGCUAC
Molecule: ribosomal RNA, 25 nt
Filed under: Phaseolus dumosus
Lineage: Eukaryota; Viridiplantae; Streptophyta; Magnoliopsida; Fabales; Fabaceae
Description: partial large subunit ribosomal RNA
Source: RNAcentral